UGUACCGUGGCGUGUGGCGCG
This 21-nucleotide unclassified non-coding RNA is filed under the name Chlamydomonas reinhardtii. RNAcentral describes it as "small RNA Cre_3516". The record is from RNAcentral. Lineage: Eukaryota; Viridiplantae; Chlorophyta; Chlorophyceae; Chlamydomonadales; Chlamydomonadaceae.